UACGAAGGGGGCUAGCGUUGCUCGGAAUCACUGGGCGUAAAGGGCGCGUAGGCGGCUCGUGAAGUCGGGUGUGAAAGCCCGGGGCUCAACCCCGGAACGGCAUCCGAUACUGGCGGGCUUGAGACCGGGAGAGGAGGGUGGAAUACCCAGUGUAGAGGUGAAAUUCGUAGAUAUUGGGUGGAACACCGGUGGCGAAAGCGGCUCUCUGGCCCGGAUCUGACGCUGAGGCGCGAAAGCUAGGGGAGCAAACGGG
RNAcentral lists this ribosomal RNA (253 nucleotides) under uncultured bacterium. RNAcentral describes it as "partial 16S ribosomal RNA". It matches the Rfam family "Bacterial small subunit ribosomal RNA", at positions 524 to 776 of the family's 1533-position model. The record is from RNAcentral.